GGGGUCGUUUUGGAUUCGACUUCGGAAGGUAGGACGUAGGAGCACGCCGAGCACGUAGAUCACUCGUAAAAAUGUCUGCAAACAGAUAGUCGCAAACGACGAAUCUUUCGCACUCGCCGCUUAAGGCGGUGCCGUUGAAGCCAGCAAGUUGCUCAUUCUUGGGUUUUUCAACGUCAGAUAAUUGAGAUAGGCAGACGCUUCGCUGGGGGAGCCAAGCCGAAAAAUUUCCCAGCACCCCUGAACGGAGCCUGUCGACCGGCGCCAGCAAGGGUACUAAAAGAUCGACUACGCGUUGUAGAACCAAAAUCCGAUAGCUGAAACACGGGGGUUCGACUCCCCCCGACUCCACCA
This 351-nucleotide transfer-messenger RNA is filed under the name Pseudomonas sp. FeN3W. It matches the Rfam family "transfer-messenger RNA". From Rfam's summary of the family: Bacterial tmRNA, also known as 10Sa RNA or SsrA, is named for its dual tRNA and mRNA-like properties. Its role is to liberate the mRNA from a stalled ribosome. To accomplish this part of the tmRNA is used as a reading frame that ends in a translation stop signal. The record is from RNAcentral. Lineage: Bacteria; Pseudomonadati; Pseudomonadota; Gammaproteobacteria; Pseudomonadales; Pseudomonadaceae.